This 497-nucleotide ribosomal RNA is filed under the name uncultured bacterium. RNAcentral's name for it is "partial 16S ribosomal RNA". It matches the Rfam family "Bacterial small subunit ribosomal RNA", at positions 28 to 507 of the family's 1533-position model. The record is from RNAcentral.
GAUGAACGCUGGCGGCGUGCCUAACACAUGCAAGUCGAGCGGACAGAUCCGGCUUUUGCUUCGUUCUCGUGAGGGGCGGGCGGGUGAGGCACACGAGUAUCCCCUCCUUUGCAGACUGAGAUCACUACGGGACUGCUGAUAUUACAUCAGAUAAGAUAUUGAAACACGUGGUUCAUUGGAAAGAUUCGGCUUUGCUGUCACUACUAGAGGCUUCCUGGCCGUUUGAGCUAGUUGGUACGGUAACGGCUUACCAAGGCUAGGAUGCGUAGCCGAGCUGACAGAGUGAUCGGCCACACGGGAGCUGAGACACGGUCCAGACUCCUACGGGAGGCAGCAGUAGGGAAUCUUCGGCAAUGGGCGAAAGCCUGACGGAGCAACGCCGCGUGUGUGAUGAAGGUCUUCGGAUCGUAAAGCUCUGUUAUGAGGGAUGAACAGCUGUGUAAGUAGACGUGGCGAUCUUGACGGUACCAGGUCAAAAAGCACCGGCUAACUACGUG